RNAcentral lists this long non-coding RNA (3250 nucleotides) under Homo sapiens (human). RNAcentral describes it as "HSALNT0353250". The record is from RNAcentral. Lineage: Eukaryota; Metazoa; Chordata; Mammalia; Primates; Hominidae.
GGCCUGGCGCGUCCGCCGAGCGCGGGGGUUUGUUUAUUUUCCCGGUUGGUAGCGGCGCUGGCGCUGGUUAGAGGUUCGCCGGUGACGUGAGCGCCCGAGUUGGGGGAGAGGACCAGAACCACCUGCUGGAGAAAGGGAGCUACGGGGGCCGGGCAGGGUCCAAACGCCUCACGUGGGCGGCGGCGCCACGGUCUUCGGGGUCACAGGGAAGAGAAGGGCUCUCCUCAAGCGGGUGGAAGGAGGGAGGCCUCCCGAGGGAAUGAGACUCCAGGCCACUCCCCCGCAGCAAGGCAGGAUCACCUGCGUCGCGGAGAGCAGUUAGAGGUCCCUGGAGUGGAAAAGGGCAGUGGGACCUGGUAGCUUGGGUUCCCUGCAACUUGGGGUUCGACCUCCAGGCAAUGAAGUAGGGAUGGUCCUGCAAGUCAAGAUUCCAGUAGCAAGAGUGCAUCAGAUCUCUGUAAGGAAAAUAACUAACAUUGCUCAGUUCCCUGUAGAGUUGCAGGGCGCUUUGACGUUAUCUCCCUUGGUUCUCCAUCAGGUCGUAGUGGACUAAUUUUACAGGCGAAGUUAAGUGACUUACCCAAAACCUCACAGCUAAUAAACGGCAGAGCCGGCACCCAGCUGUACUGGCUUCCAGCGCAUCCCAUUAUCUCCAUAAAUCCCCCUGAUUCAACUAAUAUUAGACGCCCCACAGGUAAGAUGCUUCAGAGUUAGAGGGGAGUUGAAGAUACCUUUGCCUUCAAAGAAGUAAGGAAUGAAACAAAGAUAAAACAGACAAUAAAAGACAAACCAUGAUAGGUGCCACGUGAAAAGUGGCAGAGUACUGCCGGGAAUCAAAGAACCGUGUAUAUCUGUCUUGGGGAUAAGGAAAGAAACGCAGCAUGAAGGAGUAGGCAUUUGGGAUUGACCUUGAAGGAGACAGGGAGAGUUUUACAGCAAGAAGGGAUAGCAUGAGAAUAUAUAUGAAGGCGAAUCAGUGAAAGUUGUGUUGGGGAAAGAGCAAAGACUCCAGGUAUGUUGAGAGGUAGAAAAGACAAAGGAGUAUGGGGCCUAAGAUACCAAAUGGAUGAAUUUAUAUUUAAUUCAGUAUUUUGAGUUUUUAUGGUUCAGAAGUUUGGGGGAAGAAAAGGAAGGUUUUUUUUUUCUUUAUGCUAGUGAUUUAUCUGUGAAGGGAAGCAGAAAUCAGAGGUGGAAAAACUGACAGAUCUACUGUAGGCCAGGUAAAAGGUAAUGAUGAGUCUGACCUAAAGGGACAGCCAGGGGAAUUUAAAGAGCAUAGUUGAGAGAUGAUGUGCAUGCAGAAUCUAUAGAAUUUGCUAACUGAUUGAUUAAUUGUGGGUAGGAAGAGAGAAAUCAAAGAAAGUGGAGGUUUUGAGUUUCUAGAUAAUUGCAAGAGAGAAAAGAGACAAUUACAAAGGAAAGGAGAAGGAGCUACUUCUUGAGAGAAGAUCAGUUUAGAUUUAGACAUUUUAAGAAUUCAAAGGGUUGUCAAGACAGCCAGACGGACAUGGACACUAAUAAGUUAGAAAUAAAGGUUUUGUAAUAUGGGAAAGAGGACUGAGCUAGAAAAUAGACUCAUAGAUAAUCAGCCUAGGAGUGAUAUUGCUGUGAGAUAAAAGAAGAAAACAAAGUCAGAAUCUUGGAAAACACCCUCUUCAGAGUCUCGCUGCUCAAAACGUGGUCAGUGGCCCAGCAGCACUGACAUGAGGACCUUAGUUGGAAACUCAGAAUCUCAGGCUCCACCCCAGACCUGCUGAACCAGCAUCUUCAACUUAACAAGAACCCGAAGAGAUUUGUGCCACAUCAAAAAGUUUGAGAAGCUCUGAUCUAGGUGAGCCAAGCCAGCAAAGAAAGGGGGUGGAGCAGAAAAUGGGAGGAGAAUAGGGUAAUGCAGAAUCAUCAAGACAAGGUAAAUUGGACUUUCACAAAAACGGGGCUGGAAGGAGUGUUGCUCAACAAUAUCCAAAACCACAGAGGUUGAAAAGCACAAGGAAAGAAGGUAUGUUUGCACUUUGUGAUUAGGUAGUAGGGUCUUUAAGACCACAUUGUUCUCAUUGAAAGCCUGGGAAGAAAGAUCCCCUUUCUGGUCAAGGUUAGUCUAGGGAUCCAUCCCCUCUUCCCCAGUUCCCACGUAUAUGGGACAUGUCGAGAUAAGUAGAUAGAUUGGACAGUGGGAGAAAGUAGUUCUCUUCCAGUUGCUUCUAUUUUCUCAGCAAAGUGAGGAACAAGAUCAUUUUGGCAGACUGCUAAUUGUCCAUCAUAAUUUAGUCUCCCCUUCUCCCUGAAAACACAGACUGCUUUUCUCAGCCUCUCUUUCAGUUGCAUAUGGUCAAGUAUUAAGUUAUAGAACAUGAGCAGAUGUUAUGUCUGCCACUGUCAGGCCAAGGCGUUUACUUUGAGAGUACUUGUGCCUCUUUCAUACAUUUUCCUUUCUGCCAGCUGGACCCUGGACACGGUGACUCUGAUUCAAUUAUGCAGAUGACCACAAGCCUCUGGGGUUGGCAGAGCCACAAGAAAGAAGGUGCCUGGAUGAAGGAGAGCUACCCACUGACCUGGACACCCAAUUAUGUCAUAGGUGCUGCAAUCUAGAGACAAAAUAUUCCUUACACUGCCAGAUACUUGCAAACUAAGGGGAACGAGCUUCCCUCUGAAUGUUUAUGAAGGAGAGACCACUGUGUCAUCUGUCUUAGAGCUAUUGGAAUCCUGGAUCAUUGUGGGAAAUGAAAAGAACUGGUUUUUAGCAAGGAGACCAAGAAACUCUACUCCCUAGGGGCUAGCAAUGAGAGAAAGGAAGCCUUGAGUCUUUGAGCACAGGGUGACAGUUUGGGUCCUAUGUGAGAUGAUCAAAUCCACAGCAACAGAGGAAAGGACAAAAGGAAAAGAUACUUCGAUGGAAUCAGCAGCCAUUGAUCCAAUGCCAACUCCAAGACUGGAACGUCGCAAUGAUAGUUCCAAGGCGGAAAUUUGACGUAAUUCUUUUCGACACAGUUUUACAGGUCUGGAUGCCCAUUUUAAUUCUUCUGAAAGCAUGCCUCCUUCUGGCUUCAGGACUCCAUCUCCAGCCUUAUGAUCUAAAAAUAAUCCCCAAACCAAAAAAUUAGAUAUUAUUUCCUCAAAAUUAGGUGUUUUAAUCAAAACAUCUUAACAUAAAUACAUUAUUAUCACCCAAUAUGCAUAAUGUUGUUCAACUUUUUUGUUAAAUGACUUAUUUUAGAUGAACAGAUGUGUGAAUAUGAAUAUUUUUAUUUCA